CAGCAGCCGCGGGAAUACGGAGGGAGCUAGCGUUGUUCGGAAUUACUGGGCGUAAAGCGCACGUAGGCGGUUAUUCAAGUCAGAGGUGAAAGCCCGGGGCUCAACCCCGGAACUGCCUUUGAAACUAGAUGACUGGAAUCUUGGAGAGGUCAGUGGAAUUCCGAGUGUAGAGGUGAAAUUCGUAGAUAUUCGGAAGAACACCAGUGGCGAAGGCGACUGACUGGACAAGUAUUGACGCUGAGGUGCGAAAGCGUGGGGAGCAAACAGGAUUAGAUACCCCUGUAGUCCCUGUCUCUUAUAC
This 301-nucleotide ribosomal RNA is filed under the name uncultured bacterium. Its description in RNAcentral is "partial 16S ribosomal RNA". It matches the Rfam family "Bacterial small subunit ribosomal RNA", at positions 509 to 807 of the family's 1533-position model. The record is from RNAcentral.